This 254-nucleotide ribosomal RNA is filed under the name Cetobacterium somerae. RNAcentral describes it as "partial 23S ribosomal RNA". It matches the Rfam family "Bacterial large subunit ribosomal RNA", at positions 288 to 519 of the family's 2925-position model. Lineage: Bacteria; Fusobacteriati; Fusobacteriota; Fusobacteriia; Fusobacteriales; Fusobacteriaceae. The record is from RNAcentral.
AUCUACGGGGUAGCGGGAAGAUCGUCUGAAGAACUGCAAGGUAUUCGACAUUAUGAUACGCCGAACUGGAAAGGUCUGGAAAGGCCUGCCGUAGAGAGUGAAAGCCUCGUACAGGUAAACCGUAUCGAAUGUAUGAUCUCUCCCAAGUAGCACGGAACACGAGGAAUUCUGUGUGAAUCUGCGAGGACCAUAUCUCGUAAGGCUAAAUACUCUUACUUACCGAUAGCGCAUAGUACCGUGAGGGAAAGGUGAAA